This 493-nucleotide ribosomal RNA is filed under the name uncultured bacterium. RNAcentral's name for it is "partial 16S ribosomal RNA". It matches the Rfam family "Bacterial small subunit ribosomal RNA", at positions 28 to 506 of the family's 1533-position model. The record is from RNAcentral.
GACGAACGCUGGCGGCGUGCUUAACACAUGCAAGUCGAACGGUGAAGCGCCUUCCUUUUUGGUGGGUGUGGAUGAGUGGCGAACGGGUGAGUAACACGUGAGUAACCUGCCCCCUUCUUCUGGAUAACCGCAUGAAAGUGUGGCUAAUACGGGAUAUUCUGGGUCUGUCGCAUGAUGGGUCUGGGAAAGAUAUUGUUUCGGUGGGGGAUGGGCUCGCGGCCUAUCAGCUUGUUGGUGGGGUGAUGGCCUACCAAGGCGGUGACGGGUAGCCGGCCUGAGAGGGUGGCCGGUCACACUGGGAGUGAGAAACGGCCCAGACGCCUACGGGAGGGAGCAGUGGGGAAUAUUGCAGAAUGGGCGCAAGCCUGAUGCAGCGACGCCGCGUGAGGGAUGGAGGCCUUCGGGUUGUGAACCUCUUUCGCCAGUGAAGCAGGCCUGCCUCGUUUGUGGGUGGUUUGACGGUAGCUGGAUAAGAAGCGCCGGCUAACUACGU